RNAcentral lists this ribosomal RNA (485 nucleotides) under uncultured bacterium. RNAcentral's name for it is "bacterial SSU rRNA". It matches the Rfam family "Bacterial small subunit ribosomal RNA", at positions 30 to 509 of the family's 1533-position model. The record is from RNAcentral.
AUUGAACGCUGGCGGCAUGCCUUACACAUGCAAGUCGAACGGUAACAGGUCUUCGGAUGCUGACGAGUGGCGAACGGGUGAGUAAUACAUCGGAACGUGCCCGAGAGUGGGGGAUAACGCAGCGAAAGCUGUGCUAAUACCGCAUACGAUCUACGGAUGAAAGCAGGGGAUUCGCAAGGACCUUGCGCUCAUGGAGCGGCCGAUGGCAGAUUAGGUAGUUGGUGGGAUAAAAGCUUACCAAGCCGACGAUCUGUAGCUGGUCUGAGAGGACGACCAGCCACACUGGGACUGAGACACGGCCCAGACUCCUACGGGAGGCAGCAGUGGGGAAUUUUGGACAAUGGGGGAAACCCUGAUCCAGCCAUGCCGCGUGCAGGAUGAAGGCCUUCGGGUUGUAAACUGCUUUUGUACGGAACGAAAGGGCUCUCUCUAAUACAGGGGCAUAUGACGGUACCGUAAGAAUAAGCACCGGCUAACUACGUGCC